UACGUAGGUGGCAAGAGUUAUCCGGAUUUACUGGGUGUAAAGGGCGUGUAGGCGGGACUGCAAGUCAGAUGUGAAAUUCCAGGGCUCAACCCUGGAACUGCAUUUGAAACUGUAGUUCUUGAGUGAUGGAGAGGCAGGCGGAAUUCCGUGUGUAGCGGUGAAAUGCGUAGAUAUACGGAGGAACACCAGUGGCGAAGGCGGCCUGCUGGACAUUAACUGACGCUGAGGCGCGAAAGCGUGGGGAGCAAACAGG
This 253-nucleotide ribosomal RNA is filed under the name uncultured bacterium. Its description in RNAcentral is "partial 16S ribosomal RNA". It matches the Rfam family "Bacterial small subunit ribosomal RNA", at positions 524 to 776 of the family's 1533-position model. The record is from RNAcentral.